GCUGGCAACCCGGCGCCAAGACGUGCGCGCAAGGGCGGGCGCCCGCGGGCGAGCAGCGUGACGCAGCGACGGCCCGCCCGGGCUUCCGGGGCAUCACCCGGUCGGCGCGGUCGCGGCGCGCCGAGGGCCCGACGCCUGGCGGAGAAUCAGGGUUCGACUCCGGAGAGCGGGCCUGAGAGACGGCCCGCACAUCCAAGGACGGCAGCAGGCGCGGAACUUGCCCAAUGCGCGCGCGCGAGGCAGCGACGGGGAGUGCGCGAGCGAGGCGGGCCCACAGCCCCCGCCGCGGAGCCGAGGGCAACGUCUGGUGCCAGCAGCCGCGGUAAUUCCAGCUCGGCGGGCGUCGCGUGGCGCUGCUGCAGUUAAAACGCCCGUAGUUGGCCCCCCGCCGCCACGAGGAAACGGGAGCGCUCCAGGCAGGCCCGUUGGACCCGCCGCGUGGGACCGCGCAGCGGGCGCGGCGCGCCGCGGCAGCCCCGAGGAGAG
RNAcentral lists this ribosomal RNA (486 nucleotides) under Giardia duodenalis. Its description in RNAcentral is "SSU rRNA". The stretch from base 1 to 345 matches the Rfam family "Microsporidia small subunit ribosomal RNA", at positions 129 to 427 of the family's 1311-position model. Lineage: Eukaryota; Fornicata; Diplomonadida; Hexamitidae. The record is from RNAcentral.